UCUAAUAUGGCAGAUUAGUGCAAUGGAUUUAAGCCCCAUAUAUAAAGUUUAAACUUUUUUUAGAAA
RNAcentral lists this transfer RNA (66 nucleotides) under Aleochara binotata. RNAcentral describes it as "tRNA leu". It matches the Rfam family "tRNA". From Rfam's summary of the family: Transfer RNA (tRNA) molecules are approximately 80 nucleotides in length. Their secondary structure includes four short double-helical elements and three loops (D, anti-codon, and T loops). Further hydrogen bonds mediate the characteristic L-shaped molecular structure. tRNAs have two regions of fundamental functional importance: the anti-codon, which is responsible for specific mRNA codon recognition, and the 3' end, to which the tRNAs corresponding amino acid is attached (by aminoacyl-tRNA synthetases). tRNAs cope with the degeneracy of the genetic code in two manners: having more than one tRNA (with a specific anti-codon) for a particular amino acid; and 'wobble' base-pairing, i.e. permitting non-standard base-pairing at the 3rd anti-codon position. The record is from RNAcentral. Lineage: Eukaryota; Metazoa; Arthropoda; Insecta; Coleoptera; Staphylinidae.